Molecule: ribosomal RNA, 442 nt
Filed under: uncultured bacterium
Lineage: Bacteria
Description: partial 16S ribosomal RNA
Rfam family: Bacterial small subunit ribosomal RNA
Source: RNAcentral
CCUACGGGAGGCAGCAGUAGGGAAUCUUUCACAAUGGGCGAAAGCCUGAUGGAGCAACGCCGCGUGCAGGAUGAAGGUCCUCCGGUUUUUAACCGCUUUUUUACGCGAGACAUACGAUGGUUACUUAUGACUAAGGAUCGGCUAACUACGUGCCAGCAGCCGCGGUCAUACGUAGGAUCCGAGCAUUAUCCGGAGUGACUGGGGGUAAAGAGUUGCGUAGGUGGCAUAAUAAGUAGCUAGUGAAAUCUGGUGGCUCAACCAUUCAGACUAUUAGCUAAACUGUUAAGCUCGAGACCGUUAGGGGUAACUGGAAUGUCUGGUGUAGGAGUGAAAUCCGUAGAUAUUAGAAAGAACACCGAUAGCGAAGGCAGGUUACUGGGACGGUUCUGACACUAAGGCACGAAAGCGUAGGGAGCAAACGGGAUUAGAUACCCCAGUAGUC